GCCAGCAUGGUGUAGUGGUUUGAGCGUUGGACUGUGACUCUAGAGGGCACAGGUCAAAUCCUGGCUUGGCC
Non-coding RNA from Phrynosoma platyrhinos (Desert horned lizard), 71 nucleotides. The record is from the annotation of a GenBank genome assembly. NCBI's taxonomy places the organism in Eukaryota, Metazoa, Chordata, Lepidosauria, Squamata, Phrynosomatidae.